This 206-nucleotide long non-coding RNA is filed under the name Prunus persica (peach). RNAcentral describes it as "long non-coding RNA (PPER_LNC000234)". Lineage: Eukaryota; Viridiplantae; Streptophyta; Magnoliopsida; Rosales; Rosaceae. The record is from RNAcentral.
AAAUAAAUAAAAAUUUAUAUCUUUAAAAUAACAAUAAAAGAAAAUCAAAUAAAAAACUAACAAAAAAAAAAUCAAGUUUAAGGGAGUAGAAAUCAGGAUAGAGAGAGAGAGAGAGAGAGAGAGAGAGAGAGUUUAAUUUUAUUUUUUUAGUUUUUAAAAUUUUUAUUCAUAUUUUAAACAAUUUAAUACAAAAAUACCAUUUCUCC